AUUCGUAAGAGUAGUAGUCCUUAUGCUGCGCCCGUAGUAAUAGUUCGCAAGCACGACAAGUCUAUUAGACUGUGUGUAGAUUACAGAUUACUGAAUAAAAAGACAAUACGUGACGCUUAUCCACUUCCAAGAAUCGAGGAGGCGUUAGACACCUUGCACGGAACAAAGUUUUAUACCACGCUAGACUUAUCCCAAGGUUAUUAUCAGGUAGCGACCGAUGAAAGAGAUAUACAUAAGACUGCAUUUCGUGUUGGAACGGGAGGUCUUUAUGAGUACCUAAGGAUGCCGAUGGGACUUUCUAAUAGUGCGGCUACAUUUCAAAAGAUAAUGGAAGCAUGUUUUAAUGACAAAAAUUUUGAAAUAUUAUUGAUUUAUUUAGAUGAUAUUCUUAUCUUUUCAAAGACAGUAGAAGAACAGUUAGAACGCCUGGAGUUUGUGUUUCAACGACUAAGACAGCAUGGUUUGAAAUUAAAAUUGUCAAAAUGUCAUUUCUUCAAGAAGGAGGUAAGAUACUUAGGACACGUUAUUUCACAAGAUGGCAUCAAAACAAACCCAGACAAAACAAAAUCAAUACAAGAUUGGAAAGUACCUACCACCGAAAAAGAACUCCG
Molecule: long non-coding RNA, 611 nt
Filed under: Mytilus galloprovincialis (Mediterranean mussel)
Lineage: Eukaryota; Metazoa; Mollusca; Bivalvia; Mytilida; Mytilidae
Source: RNAcentral